Molecule: non-coding RNA, 45 nt
Filed under: Enteractinococcus sp.
Lineage: Bacteria; Bacillati; Actinomycetota; Actinomycetes; Micrococcales; Micrococcaceae
Description: Guanidine-II sequence
Rfam family: Guanidine-II riboswitch aptamer (mini-ykkC)
About the family: Simpler in structure and has fewer highly conserved nucleotide positions than the ykkC-yxkD leader.
Source: RNAcentral
CGUCCGGGACGACCCGGACGAUGACCUCAGUGCCGGGACGGCCCG